This 84-nucleotide transfer RNA is filed under the name Nitrospira sp. RNAcentral describes it as "tRNA-Leu". It matches the Rfam family "tRNA". From Rfam's summary of the family: Transfer RNA (tRNA) molecules are approximately 80 nucleotides in length. Their secondary structure includes four short double-helical elements and three loops (D, anti-codon, and T loops). Lineage: Bacteria; Pseudomonadati; Nitrospirota; Nitrospiria; Nitrospirales; Nitrospiraceae. The record is from RNAcentral.
GCCCGAGUGGCGGAAUAGGCAGACGCAGGGGACUUAAAAUCCCCCGGAGGAAACUUCGUGCGGGUUCGAUCCCCGCCUCGGGCA